Molecule: ribosomal RNA, 458 nt
Filed under: uncultured bacterium
Lineage: Bacteria
Description: partial 16S ribosomal RNA
Rfam family: Bacterial small subunit ribosomal RNA
Source: RNAcentral
CCUACGGGUGGCAGCAGUGGGGAAUAUUGCACAAUGGGGGAAACCCUGAUGCAGCGACGCCGCGUGGGUGAAGAAGGGUUUCGGUAUGUAAAGCUCUAUCGGCAGGGAAGAAAUAUCGACCUCUGGUUCCCCAGACGGUACCUAAUUAAGAAUCUGCGGCCAACUACGUGCCAGCAGCCGCGGUAAUAUGGAGGGGGCAAGGGUUAUCCGGGGUUACUGGGUGUAAAGGGAGCGUAGACGGCAACGCAAGUGUGAAGUGAAAAGCCGGGGCGUAACCCCGGAACUGCUUUUGAAACUGUGGGGCUAGAGUACAGGAGAGGUAAGUGGAAUUCCUAGUGUAGCGGUGAAAUGCAUAGAUAUCACGCAGAACACCGAUUGCGAAGGCGGCAUACCGGACAUCAACUGACGCUGAGGCACGAAAGUGUGGGGAGCGAACAGGAUUAGAUACCCUUGUAGUC